Molecule: ribosomal RNA, 455 nt
Filed under: uncultured bacterium
Lineage: Bacteria
Description: bacterial SSU rRNA
Rfam family: Bacterial small subunit ribosomal RNA
Source: RNAcentral
UACGGGAGGCAGCAGUGGGGAAUAUUGCACAAUGGGCGAAAGCCUGAUGCAGCUAUGCCGCGUGUAUGAAGAAGGCCUUAGGGUUGUAAAGUACUUUCAUCGGGGAGGAAAAAACAAAACUAAUAAUUUUAUUUCUUGACGUUACCUGAAAAAGAAGCACCGGCUAACUCCGUGCCAGCAGCCGCGGUAAUACGGAGGGUGCUAGCGUUAAUCAGAAUUACUGGGCGUAAAGAGCACGUAGGUGGUUUUUUAAGUCAGAUGUGAAAUCCCUGGGCUUAACCUAGGAACUGCAUUUUGAAACUGAAAUACUAGAGUAUCGUAGAGGGAGGUAGAAUUCUAGGUGUAGCGGUGAAAUGCGUAGAUAUCUGGAGGAAUACCUGUGGCGAAAGCGGCCUCCUAAACGAAUACUGACACUGAGGUGCGAAAGCGUGGGGAGCAAACAGGGAUUAGAUACC